Molecule: ribosomal RNA, 1170 nt
Filed under: Triticum aestivum (bread wheat)
Lineage: Eukaryota; Viridiplantae; Streptophyta; Magnoliopsida; Poales; Poaceae
Description: partial small subunit ribosomal RNA
Source: RNAcentral
AUGGCUCUGGAGAUGAAGGUAAAACACAAAAUGACCGACGCAUGCUUCGACGAGAACAUGUCAUUCUGGCACGAACGUCUUCCCAAGGGGAACAAGUGCCCGACAAGUUUCGAGGAGGCGAAGAAAAUCGUGUGUCCUCUGGAUUUACCGCACGUGAAAUACCAUGUGUGCAUGAAGAAUUGCAUCAUUUAUCGGGACGAGCACGCGGAGUCUACCAUAUGUCCGGUGUGCGGCGUCACUCGAUACAAGAAGAGGAAGAAAGCUCCUCGAAAAGUGGUGUGGUACUUUCCGAUCACUCCUCGUCUGCAGCGGUAUUUCGCUGACCCUAAGGUAGCAAAGCUCCUGCGUUGGCACGCGGAUAGGGACGAGAAGAAGCGAGAAGAUGACGCAAAUGAUCCAGAGAUAAAUAAAAAAGACAAGAUGCUGAGUCACCCUAAGGAUGGGAGCCAGUGGCAAGCGUUGAACUUCGAACACCCAGAAUUUGGGAAGGAUCCAAGGAACAUCGUGCUGGGCGCGAGCACCGAUGGAGUCAAUCCGUUUGGCAGCCAGAGAAGCACACAUAGCACCUGGCCUGUGUUUGUGUGGAUGUACAACCUUCCCCCCUGGUUGUGCAUGAAGAGGAAGUACAUUCACAUGAGUAUGCUAAUUGAAGGGCCGAAACAACCAGGGAACGACAUCAAUCUGUAUCUGGGGCUGCUGAAAGAGGAGCUAGACACGCUGUGGAAAACGCCAGCCAAUAUGUGGGACGCCGCAGAGAAAGAAUAUUUCCCUAUGAGAGCCGCACUGCUCAUGACGGUGCACGACUAUCUCGGUUACAGAUAUCUCGCGGGGCAGGUGGUCCACGGAUUUUCUGGAUGCGUCAGGUGCAUGGAUGACACAACGUAUCGCCAGCUAGAUAGAGAUCCCGGGUCUUCGAAAACCGUGUUCAUGGGACAUCGAAGGUGGCUUUGCGACGAUGACCCGUGGAGGAAACGCAAGGAUCUGUUCGAUGGUGAAACCGAACCCCGAAGACGCCCGCGUACGAGGAGCGGCGAGGAAAUAGACGAGCUGUUGAAAAAUUGGAAAGAUUGCCCACUGCCGGGAAAGAAGCAAAAGGCGCCAGAGCCGGGAAAGAAGCGAAAGGCGCCAGAGCCGCUGCUGAAGGUAUGGAAAACGAGGUCUGUUUUCUAG